CAUGCAGCCGAGCGGUAGAGAUCUUUCGGGAUCUUGAGAGCGGCGUACGGGUGCGGAACACGUGUGCAACCUGCCUUUAUCUGGGGGAUAGCCUUUCGAAAGGAAGAUUAAUACCCCAUAAUAUGUUGGAUGGCAUCAUUCGACAUUGAAAACUCCGGUGGAUAGAGAUGGGCACGCGCAAGAUUAGAUAGUUGGUGAGGUAACGGCUCACCAAGUCUGCGAUCUUUAGGGGGCCUGAGAGGGUGAUCCCCCACACUGGUACUGAGACACGGACCAGACUCCUACGGGAGGCAGCAGUGAGGAAUAUUGGACAAUGGGUGAGAGCCUGAUCCAGCCAUCCCGCGUGAAGGACGACGGCCCUAUGGGUUGUAAACUUCUUUUGUAUAGGGAUAAACCUACUCUCGUGAGAGUAGCUGAAGGUACUAUACGAAUAAGCACCGGCUAACUCCGUGCCAGCAGCCGCGGUAAUACGGAGGGUGCAAGCGUUAUCCGGAUUUAUUGGGUUUAAAGGGUCCGUAGGCGGAUCUGUAAGUCAGUGGUGAAAUCUCACAGCUUAACUGUGAAACUGCCAUUGAUACUGCAGGUCUUGAGUGUUGUUGAAGUAGCUGGAAUAAGUAGUGUAGCGGUGAAAUGCAUAGAUAUUACUUAGAACACCAAUUGCGAAGGCAGGUUACUAAGCAACAACUGACGCUGAUGGACGAAAGCGUGGGGAGCGAACAGGAUUAGAUACCCUGGUAGUCCACGCCGUAAACGAUGCUAACUCGUUUUUGGGCUUUCGGGUUCAGAGACUAAGCGAAAGUGAUAAGUUAGCCACCUGGGGAGUACGAACGCAAGUUUGAAACUCAAAGGAAUUGACGGGGGCCCGCACAAGCGGUGGAUUAUGUGGUUUAAUUCGAUGAUACGCGAGGAACCUUACCAAGGCUUAAAUGGGAAAUGACAGGUUUAGAAAUAGACUUUUCUUCGGACAUUUUUCAAGGUGCUGCAUGGUUGUCGUCAGCUCGUGCCGUGAGGUGUUAGGUUAAGUCCUGCAACGAGCGCAACCCCUGUCACUAGUUGCCAUCAUUAAGUUGGGGACUCUAGUGAGACUGCCUACGCAAGUAGAGAGGAAGGUGGGGAUGACGUCAAAUCAUCACGGCCCUUACGCCUUGGGCCACACACGUAAUACAAUGGCCGGUACAGAGGGCAGCUACACAGCGAUGUGAUGCAAAUCUCGAAAGCCGGUCUCAGUUCGGAUUGGAGUCUGCAACUCGACUCUAUGAAGCUGAAUCGCUAGUAUUCGCG
RNAcentral lists this ribosomal RNA (1281 nucleotides) under Chryseobacterium indologenes. RNAcentral describes it as "bacterial SSU rRNA". It matches the Rfam family "Bacterial small subunit ribosomal RNA", at positions 54 to 1346 of the family's 1533-position model. The record is from RNAcentral. Lineage: Bacteria; Pseudomonadati; Bacteroidota; Flavobacteriia; Flavobacteriales; Weeksellaceae.